GCAGUACUUGCUCCGUCCGGAAUUACUUGUCGACUUAUUGUAAAAAUGGAUGUAUCUAGACGUAUUUUAGUUCUAGAUACAUAUACUUUUAUUCAUUUUUGAGACAAGUAAUUCGGGACUGAGAGAGUAGUAC
This is a non-coding RNA of Triticum aestivum (bread wheat), 133 nucleotides long. The record is from Rfam. Lineage: Eukaryota; Viridiplantae; Streptophyta; Magnoliopsida; Poales; Poaceae.